UGGGGAAUUUUGGACAAUGGGCGAAAGCCUGAUCCAGCAAUGCCGCGUGUGUGAAGAAGGCCUUCGGGUUGUAAAGCACUUUUGUCCGGAAAGAAAUCCUUGGCUCUAAUACAGUCGGGGGAUGACGGUACCGGAAGAAUAAGCACCGGCUAACUACGUGCCAGCAGCCGCGGUAAUACGUAGGGUGCAAGCGUUAAUCGGAAUUACUGGGCGUAAAGCGUGCGCAGGCGGUUUGCUAAGACCGAUGUGAAAUCCCCGGGGCUCAACCCGGGAACUGCAUUGGUGACUGGCAGGCUAGAGUAUGGCAGAGGGGGGUUAGAAUUCCACGUGUAGCAGUGAAAGUGCGUAGAGAUGUGGAGGAAUACCGAUGGCGAAGGCAGCCCCCUGGGCCAAUACUGACGCUCAUGCACGAAAGCCGUGGGGGAGCAAACAGGAUUAGAUACCCUGGUAGUCCACGCCCUAAACGAUGUCAACUAGUUGUUGGGGACUUCAUUUCCUUAGUAACGUAGCUAACGCGUGAAGUUGA
RNAcentral lists this ribosomal RNA (526 nucleotides) under uncultured bacterium. Its description in RNAcentral is "partial 16S ribosomal RNA". It matches the Rfam family "Bacterial small subunit ribosomal RNA", at positions 355 to 868 of the family's 1533-position model. The record is from RNAcentral.